This 440-nucleotide ribosomal RNA is filed under the name uncultured bacterium. RNAcentral describes it as "partial 16S ribosomal RNA". It matches the Rfam family "Bacterial small subunit ribosomal RNA", at positions 338 to 795 of the family's 1533-position model. The record is from RNAcentral.
CCUACGGGUGGCAGCAGUGGGGAAUAUUGCACAAUGGGGGAAACCCUGAUGCAGCGACGCCGCGUGAGUGAAGAAGUAUUUCGGUACGUAAAGCUCUAUCAGCAGGGAAGAAAAUGACGGUACCUGACUAAGAAGACCCGGCUAACUACGUGCCAGUAGCCGCGGUAAUACGUAGGGGGCAAGCGUUAGCCGGAUUUACUGGGUGUAAAGGGAGCGUAGACGGCAGCGCAAGUCUGGAGUGAAAUCCCAUGGCUUAACCAUGGAACUGCUUUGGAAACUGUGCAGCUAGAGUGCAGGAGAGGUAAGCGGAAUUCCUAGUGUAGCGGUGAAAUGCGUAGAUAUUAGGAGGAACACCAGUGGCGAAGGCGGCUUACUGGACUGUAACUGACGUUGAGGCUCGAAAGCGUGGGGAGCAAACAGGAUUAGAUACCCCAGUAGUC